GUAGUUAACACCUGCAUUAUUUGACGUUACCUACAGAAGAAGCACCGGCUAACUCCGUGCCAGCAGCCGCGGUAAUACGGAGGGUGCGAGCGUUAAUCGGAAUUACUGGGCGUAAAGCGCAUGCAGGCGGCCUGUUAAGUCAGAUGUGAAAGCCCGGGGCUUAACCUCGGAAUUGCAUUUGAAACUGGCAGGCUAGAGUCUUGUAGAGGGGGUAGAAUUUCAGGUGUAGCGGUGAAAUGCGUAGAGAUCUGAAGGAAUACCAGUGGCGAAGGCGGCCCCCUGGACAAAGACUGACGCUCAGAUGCGAAAGCGUGGGGAGCAAACAGGAUUAGAUACCCCUGGUAG
Molecule: ribosomal RNA, 345 nt
Filed under: uncultured bacterium
Lineage: Bacteria
Description: bacterial SSU rRNA
Rfam family: Bacterial small subunit ribosomal RNA
Source: RNAcentral